CCGCCGGCGACCGGCGCACGGGUGAGUAACACGUAUGCAACCUGGCCGUGACAGAUGGAUAACCGGGAGAAAUCCCGCCUAAUACAGCAUGACGCCGGGAAGGGACAUCCCUUUCCGGCCAAAGGGGGCGACUCCGGUCACGGAUGGGCAUGCGGCGCAUUAGGUAGUCGGCGGGGUAACGGCCCACCGAGGCGACGAUGCGUAGGGGUUCUGAGAGGAAGGUCCCCCACACUGGUACUGAGACACGGACCAGACUCCUACGGAAGGCAGCAG
Molecule: ribosomal RNA, 273 nt
Filed under: uncultured bacterium
Lineage: Bacteria
Description: partial 16S ribosomal RNA
Rfam family: Bacterial small subunit ribosomal RNA
Source: RNAcentral